CUGACAACUGGACUGGUAGAGCCAAUUUCCUUUUCUGAGGCAGAAGCAUUCCUACCAUGUCAGCAAACCUCAGUUAUUAUCUUGUCUCAUAAAUCUCCUGAGUCCAGGCUCCCCAGGGCACUGACAUCGAUUCCCUUGUUCCUUAACCCAGUAAAAGCCCUCCAGGGGCCUCAGCCAUGCCCCCCAGCCGUCAGCCUUAGGGGUUCAGCUCCCCCUCUCAGGUGUGCAUCUGAGGAACCGGCAGCAGCCUCUGUCAGACCUUAGCGAGAUGCGGAGACUGACAACCAGGGGGUUGGAGUAACUCACCCAAGGUCACACGGCGUCUAGUGGCAAGGCUCAGACCGGGCCCUCUGGGCAGAGGGCGCUUGCCUCUUCUGCCUCCAUGCUAUCUGCGGUUGGCGGAAUCCAGGGAUACGGAGUGCUGACUCUGGGACUUGAGCUUCUGCGCAUUUUGGUACCGUAGAGGGUCCUGGAACCCAUCCCCCAGGAGACCGAGGGAGACUCUCCAAAGUGUUAACGGGCAAAGCAGGCUUGGCUGGGGCUUUUCGAUGACAUCAGAGGACAAGCAGAGCCUGCUGCACAGAGGACAGUGCAGCUUCACACAGUAAGCCCAGGACGGUCACUGUGGGCUGUAGCCCCAUCACAAGGCAGAUGUCCUCAGGGGCACCAAGAAGCGGCUUGAAAAUUCCCGGCUCAGAAACAUCUGCCAAGUGGCAGCAUUCACACCACACUUGCCGUCAACGUCCUCGCUCCUCCUCCGCAGCUUCAGCCGGGCCAAGCGAGGAAAUCAAAAAUCAGAUGACUAGUCUUCACUUUGUGCAAAAAAGGAAUCCCGAUGGUAGAGCAGGUUACAUGGGGAAAAACCAGACACAAGAAUGAUGCGACACUCCGUGCUAAAUCAACGAAAUGGAACUGAACUAGACUCAAAAUGACAGAAUUUUGUAUAAGACUGGCAUCUCAACUCAGUGGGAAGAAAAUGGAUUACCUAGUAAUGGCUAGCCAUUUAAUAAAGGUCGACUUCUGCUUUAGACCACACCCAAAGUAAAGAUUUCAACAUGAAAACAAAACUUUAUAGUUCUAAAAGGUAAGGAAGUAAUUAAAAAUAAUAAUCUUGGAAGGUCUUUCUAAACAAUGCAUGAAAAUAUAAAAACCAUAAAGAAAAAUAUGGAAUAACUUGACUCUAUAAAAGUUUAUCAUGGUGGGGAGGGUAUAGCUCAGUGGUAGAGCAUAUGCUUAGCAUGCACGAGGUCCUGGGUUAAAUCCCCAGUACCUCCAUUAAAAAAAAAUGUUAUCAUGAAAACUUAGGUACGUAAAAUACUAAAUAAUAUUGAAAAGCAAAAUAGGAGACAAUAUUUUUGGUACCUAUGCAAGAGUUAAUCACAAAAUAUUUAUGGUGCUUAUAAAAAAUUUAAUAAUUAAGUAUUUACAAAUCAACAAGAAAAAUAGUUAAUAGAAAAGAGAUUAAAAAAAUGAUCAUCACGUUACAUAAGAAGAAAUGCAAAGGACCAGUAAGCCCAUGAAAAAUAUAUUUAACCUCCCUGGGAAAUGUCAAGAGUUGUGCAUUUUGUAAACAACUGAAAGUUAAUUUUUCUGGCAAAAAAUCAGCAAAGAUAAAAAUAAAAAUGUUGGCAGUGUUGCAGUGAAAUUAGUACCUUUUUUUUAUAUCACUUGUGGUCAUGUAAAUUGCUAUAACUUAUUUAGAGGGAUAUUUGGCAGAACAGAAGAAAAGCCUGAAAAGUUGACUUGUGCUAUGAUCCAGAAAUUCUACUUGUAGGAAUAAAUCUGAAGGAAAUAAUCAUGAUUUUGUGCAAAGCUUUUGCUAUUAGAAUGUUGAUCAAAGCAUUUCUAUGAUAACUAGAAAUUGGAAACAGCUUGUCUCUAACAAGAGGGGAUUGUUAAAGCUACCAUGGUGUGUGGUGUAUGAUAGAACUUCAUGUAACCUUAACAUGUUGUAGAAAAAAAUUACAUUUCAUGUCAUGGAACAGUAUUCACUACUAUCUUGUUAAGAAAAAAAGUAGCUUUCACAUGGUAAUAUUAUAAAUUAUAUGUUAUAUAUACAUAGAAAAAGACAGUGGAA
Molecule: long non-coding RNA, 2077 nt
Organism: Camelus dromedarius (Arabian camel)
Lineage: Eukaryota; Metazoa; Chordata; Mammalia; Artiodactyla; Camelidae
Exons: 6
Source: RefSeq, a predicted model, not a curated record